UUUGUACCUCUACCAUACAUCGUCGUUUUUUUAUUCUUUAUAACCACGUGCAAAUAUGUUCUUCAAGUAUAGUUAUACGUAUCUCUAGUAGGCCGUGGUUUCUUCUACAAGGGUUUAAGUUAAGUACUAUUGCUACUUUUACUUACACACGAAUAUGGUUAUUUAUGAGUAGCCUAUAAUGUUACACAAAGAUAUAUAAUAAUAUGACAGUAUUUCAAAACUACUCUUUGGUAUUUGGGGACGACUAUAUUCAUUUAAUACCAACAUUUUAAUAAAACUACAAACCAAA
Non-coding RNA from Ciona intestinalis (vase tunicate), 289 nucleotides. Lineage: Eukaryota; Metazoa; Chordata; Ascidiacea; Phlebobranchia; Cionidae. The record is from RefSeq and is a predicted model, not a curated record.